AGUGGAUCAACAGAAAGGAAAUCACUUUACGCCGGCUGGUGAAUUUCAUUCUCCCCCGAAGUUCUAUUCUCCUGGAUUUCCUCAAGCUGAAUCCUUGAAUUUGAAGAAACAACCUAAUGACGGCCACACUAGUAUAUCUCCUGCGGAAAUUAAUUUUCCAUUUGCAGAGCAUAUGCAAACGAAUCUUGUGCCUGUACCUACUUUGCAACAAAGUCCGAAGUCUAUGCCUAUGGAGAAUGUGUCUGUAGCUACCAAAAUAGAGUCUCCAAGGAGUGUAGAAAACAUAUUCGCUUUGGAAGAAUCAGUACCUGAAGCUGCGAUGACUGUUACCUUGGAAGAGGGUUUCCAUGACAUUGAACAGGAAGACGAGGAUGGACAUGAGGACAUCACAAGUCAGUAUGACGAGGAAGUGGCGAAGGCCAAGCUCAAGUUGAUCAUAAGGUCUAGCAGUUCAUGCAAGUUGAUUCUUGGUUUAUGUUACUUUUUGUUUAACUUUUCUUUUCUAAAAUCUUCACAGAUUAUGGAAGCGGUGGUCUUCACGUCAAAGUGAAUUGCGGGAGCGUCGACAGUUAGCUGCAGCUGCUGCACUGAAUUCUCUAACCCUGGGCACUCCUAUCAGACUCAGCAAAACUGAUGUAAGUUUCAGUUUCCUUCCCUGUAACAUGUGCUGAUCAGUGUCAAGGAGGCAAUAAAAGUCUUUAAGGCAUUUACUAUUGAGGUUGGUAGUCUAAUUUGGUUCUCGCUUCAUAUACAGCAAUCGAGAGCGUGUGGUGAGUUUGACAUUGAUCAAGCGAUGAAGAGGAGAUUUGAAGAACGGGAAAAAUCAUGGUCAAAACUGAAUAUUUCAGAUGUGAUAGCUGAUAUAUUAGUCGAAAGGAAUCCAGACUCAAAAUGCAUAUGGUGGAAGGUCAUCCUAUGUACUCAGAUUAAAUCAGUUGACUCAUCAAGUCAGGAUACACAUGCAGCAGCCAGUAGAUGGUUAUCAUCAAAGCUUAUCCCUGACACAGAACAUAGCAUCUCCGAUGAUAAUCUGCUGUUUGCAGCUCCCGGUGUGUCGGUAUGGAAUAAAUGGGUUGCAAGUGGGUCUGAUUCUGAUUCCAGAUGCUGUCUCUCGGUAACUAGAGAUGUGGAAUCUGAUCAUGAUCCACGUGGUGCAAGCGCAGUUCUCUUCCUUGCAUCUAAAGGCAUCCCUUUGAAUCUCCAGAGAGAACAUCUUAACCGCAUUCUUGAAUCAGUACCCAACGGUUCACUCCUUCCCCUUCUCGUUCUAACCAGCUCAAGCAAUGGAGAAACCGUGGGUCCUGAUACAAAUCUCGUCUCUGAGCUAGGCCUCCAUGAUAUCGACAAAUCAAAGAUAGCAAGCUUCACCGUCGUUUCUAUCGCUAAUAACUCCCAGAAGGGACAUGAAGUUCGUUUUUUCAGCGAUUCACGGCUAAGGGACGGACUCAAAUGGCUUGCGAGUAAUUCACCUCCGCAACCAAAUCUUCAGCACGUUAAACCGCGGGAACUUGUUCUGACGCAUUUAAGUUUUUCUCUAGAGUUGCUUAAGCAGAUGCGAGAUCAGGAAGUUUCUCCAUGCUGAUAAGGACUACAAAACAAAAUGCUCAAAACUUGUUCACAUGAAAAAGUCAAGAACCAUUGUGGAAGAUGUUUCUGCUCCAUCGAUAGAAGAAGAUGUUCCUGCUUCCUCUCCGUUGUCAUCCUUGUCGAUAGAAGCAAAUAAAGGAUAUCAACAGGAAACACCGCCUCCUCAAAGUCUUAAGAAACAAACAUCACUGCGUCUAGUUGAUAAAGAAAUGGCCGAUUCCAAGACUUCCCUCUUACUGGAGGAAGACAAGCCAGUGAAGACAUCUGUUAUAAAUCCAGUGCGGCCAUCUGAUGUAAAACCAGCAGUGGAUCAACAGAAAGGAAAUCACUUUACGCCGGCUGGUGAAUUUCAUUCUCCCCCGAAGUUCUAUUCUCCUGGAUUUCCUCAAGCUGAAUCCUUGAAUUUGAAGAAACAACCUAAUGACGGCCACACUAGUAUAUCUCCUGCGGAAAUUAAUUUUCCAUUUGCAGAGCAUAUGCAAACGAAUCUUGUGCCUGUACCUACUUUGCAACAAAGUCCGAAGUCUAUGCCUAUGGAGAAUGUGUCUGUAGCUACCAAAAUAGAGUCUCCAAG
This 2161-nucleotide long non-coding RNA is filed under the name Brassica napus (rape). Its description in RNAcentral is "long non-coding RNA (BNAP_LNC026493)". Lineage: Eukaryota; Viridiplantae; Streptophyta; Magnoliopsida; Brassicales; Brassicaceae. The record is from RNAcentral.